Long non-coding RNA from Alligator mississippiensis (American alligator), 4385 nucleotides. RefSeq lists it as uncharacterized. The transcript is spliced from 3 exons. Lineage: Eukaryota; Metazoa; Chordata; Crocodylia; Alligatoridae. The record is from RefSeq and is a predicted model, not a curated record.
CGGGAUCCCUGCUACAUGCUGCUCUGGAGGUCUCGGUCCAGGAGAAGGCGAGCAGCUCUGCUUCCUGCAGGGACUGAUCAGAGUUUAGAGCAAUGCAUACUGUACAGUUAGGACCCUGGGGUCUCAACAUCUCAAGAGGAUAUUGGGAUGAUAUCAGUGUGCCUGGUGACAGCGGUACAAGCCAGGGAUGGGAUUCCUGGACAGUCUGGCAAUCGUGCUUGCAAACCAGAACCUCCUUUAUCUGUCAGAAGUAGAAAGGGCAUGGGAACCUUUGGAGCCAGCCUGACCCAGGUCCAAGGAGCUAUUUAGAGGAACAGUCUAGGAAAUUAGGACUUUAACAGGGAUUGCCUUGUACAUUGUCUAGAAGAGAUACCGCACCCAGUGGAAAGCAAGGUUAUGCCCAGAUGAGUUAAGUAUUUUCUCAAGCACCUGAAAGUGAACAGUAGCUCCAAACAACUGUAGGAACAAUUUGCUUCGAGUGACCAAGAUCACCAGUAUAAGCGUAUGUAAUGAAAAGAACUGAGCAUACACAGACAGUCAAAGGCUCUUUUCCUGCGUCUACAAAUUUACAAAAAGAUAAAAAUUGGGAUAACGGGCUUCCACCUCUACUGGGGAGCAAAGUUUCAUAGAUCUGAGGAUGAUUCAACUAAAAGGGGAGAAAAGUAAUGCUGUCCUGCAACUUGUACAGUCAGUGGCUUGGCCUGUGUGUGCAACACCACUCACCAGCUAAGCAGAUCUGGGCUUGGUCUAUAGCUUGAUGAGUGACUGGCCAACAUUUGGCAUGGGGACAUUUUUCUUGGAGCCUGUAUGGAACAAAUAAAUGCCCAAUGUGACACUACAUCGUGUUGUACAAGUCAUGAAAGUGAGGUUUUGGGGUACAUGGUCAGUGAAGAUCCUCCUUACAAAAGGAGAUGCUAGCCCCCAGUUCCAAUCCAGGCAAUAAUGUCCAUGUCCCUGCCUGAACCUCCUCAAGCAGCUUCAGCUGGACACAGCUGGGUCUAAUUUUCCACUUGGUUUGCAAUAAAAAAGAAUCACCUUUGCUUUUGUGUAGGGCAAGGGAGAAUUUGUUUUGCUCCUGGUGCCAAACAGCUAGAGCAGCAUGGUUGUAGGCUAAGACACAGCCAGCUUUCCUGUCAAAGGUGGUUGUUUUCCAAGAGGUGCGUGAGUUCUGCCGAAUGAUUUAUGAGUCUUUUGAUGAAAAGAACAAAUGCAAAAGAAUCAUCCUAUUUUGAGGCGAUGUAAAACUAGAGGACUAGGUAAUAGCCACAAAUAAUACAUUUCCCCAUUGGCAUGCUUGUCUAGGAGAGCCCUCAAAUGAUAAAUGUUAAGAUCAAGGAAAGAUGCAUUAAGAACCAUUAAAAGGAUGAACAGAUGGCAGGCAGAAUGGCUAGAAACAGGCACGGCCAGCUAUUGCAGGUUGAGCUGUGCCAGGCAGGAUGCUGACAGGAAAAAGUAGCUAUGAGAAGAUGUGGGAUUGCUCAGAGAAGGAUCAGGGCUGCACCAGCACUACAGGAUGGGGAUGUCCCCUCUCCUUUUCAUUUCCAUUCUUAAAUGCAGGAGAUCCUUAGUGGCUAUGUCAAACCUGUCUGGUCCAAACCUAUUUCAGAGGAGAGGUUUGCAUGGCUGCUGGUCUUCUACCCCUUUCUUAGAAGGAAGCAAAUUGUUUUGAUGAAUCUGAAGCUGAAGCUGUGGAGUAAGGCUGGUGUAGGCAGGACCCUAUGGAAGCAGAAAACAUAGAAUAUUGUAUGCAUCUGGGAGAGAAGAGACAGUGUCUGGGGAGGAUGCCAGUGGCAAAAGCCACAGAAGCAAUUUAACAAAUGCAAAACACUGAGCAGAGCAUUCAGAAAUCACCUCCAAAACUGUUUAGGUCUUAAUGACUGAGCGAGCCACAGAAAUGAACUGAGCAAAAAAGAAAAACAAGAUGCAGCCAAGAGGUCACUGGCCUGGGCUUCCUUGAGCUGAUAGUCACAGACAGACAUGGCUUCACUUCAGUGUAAAUCUUGUCUCCUCUCCUGAAAGCAUGCUAUUAAUGUUAGUACUGUUCCCUCUUCCUGUGUCAGCUGGGUUGUCAGUGUGCACCUAGAGUGGCCAUCAUAGAGGACAGUCCUGUUGUCCUCUGUCCUCUAUUGAUAUGAAACUGGAUGCCUUUAUGUCCUCUAUUUUUCUGUUGAAGAGAAAAAUGGAGGACAUAAAUGCAUUGGGUUUCAUAUCAAUAGAAGACAGAGGACAGAGUAGCAGAAAACCGGCAUGUCCUCUAUGAUGGCCACAGUGCGCCACCCUUUGGCAUGGCCCUUUCUCCCGGCCAGCCUGUGGGACUGGCUUUUUGCCAUUCAAGAGAAGAAACAGAAGAUAAAAUAGGACAGUAACAACUUUGGCCUUCUCAUCAGUACUGUGGGUGCCAGUCAGACAGUAGCAAUGUGAGUUGCCACCAGCAUUAUCUAGGUAGUCAGCAUGCUGCAAGUUCUCAUCACAGUAAUUAGUUUCAUAUUAGUUCCCCUCUCUGCCCCUGUCUCUUUUUGUCCCUUUUCUUUUCAGCUCUUCUCAUUACAUAUGAACCAAUGCUGAACCCAGAGGGACCCUGUUGCUGGACUAGCACUUCCUGCCUCUUUUGCAAUAAAUGCAUUAUUGUUAUAUUUCUUAUUAAAAUGUAAUUAAUGUAAUUAAACUUCUGAUGAAAAUCACAAUUUUAGCCAAGGAAUCCUGAUAGCCCAUUGUUUGCUGUCUAGCAUCAGGAAAAACAAGGUUUUUGACAUUUCCAUUUUGCCAUUGAGGGACAUCUUUGCAAUAUCUACUCCUGUGCUCCUAACCAGUGUGUGAGAUCAUUCAAAUAACAAGGAGUGUUCCUAUUUGUUGCAACUUCCAUUUUUCUCACAUGUUUCAACUUCAAAGCACUGUGAACAAGAAGCAAGUAAUUCCUACCACAUCUCAGCGACGUGUAACCACUCGGCAGUGUGGCAGUGAGCAUGUCUGCAUGCAUAGGUUGAGAAGAGUAGGCAGGUCAGUCAUUUCAUCCCCAUUUUACACACUAAGGCACCAAUGUGGAAAUGAUGUACACCAACCCCAGGAGACAUAGAAGCUGUCAGCAGUACAGCUGAGGUUAACACACAAGAGUUCCUGGCUCCCGCCCCAGACCCACGGUAUGAAUCCCUAAACUUUGAUUGACCUUUCCUUAUCAGUUGCAUUUCUUUACUUUCUUGCCUCUUGCCCUUGGGCAAUGAAACCAGGUUGCUCUGUUCCACUGUUAGUGGCCAGUUUCAUUUCUCAAUUCUUAUACACCAGCCAGAUCCCUUUCGGUUGGGUUCGCAGGAUGUUUAAAAGUGACCAAAAUAAUUUCCCCUGAACUCACUUCCCUCUCUCCUUGCCCUGUUUUUUCUGGGAAAAAAACCCUUUUAAAAAUAUAACAGCUAAAAGCGGGGACUUACCCCUCUGCCCUGACCCUUCUUGGUAGAGCUGAAUUAUUUAAAAACAGAUGCAGGCUAGACCCCUCAUAUUCUUGUCAGUGGCUUUAUUUGCCUGACUCUACAGAGGCUUCACCUGCACUGAUCCUGAUGGGGAGGAUCAUAGAGCUAUGUUUGCUUUCUGAACUGAGCAAAAAGGACUAGAGAAAACACUGCGUAGGGGCCCUAGUUAGAACAUCACGGUCCAGCUAAUGCCAGAGCUUUUAGUGAAUCGUGCUUCAGUAGGAGCUGCACAGGUGGGUGCUCAAAGCAGUUCAGCAGCUGUGGCCAGUGCAGUGCACCAUACUGUUCCAUUUUGCUCAAGUGCCUUUUCUUGGACUGAAACUCCCAGAGCGCCUCCUUGAACACAGGGUGUGGUACAGUGUAGCUCAGAGCCCUGGCAGCUUCAGCGCCAGACAGUUCUGUUUGGGAACUGAUAUCAGGUGAGCUUGUUCCUGAGAAGUAGUUUGCAUGAGGAGGAUGAUAAGUAUCAUUGUGAAGCUGCCAACUUCCUUUCAAGACCCAGGGGAGUGGUGCUUUCCCCCACUGGAAGAAAUGAAUGAGGAAUUGAUGAAUAGUCAGACAGAGCCAUGUGCAACAUUUUAUGGGUAAAAUCCACUUGGGGAAAGCACUUGGGGUUUUCUUUUUCCUACUGGAUGGAGACAAGUGCUUAAAGUCUGGCAAUCAGGUCUCAUAGUAGAGAUGAUAUCUUUUAUUAGAGCAACAACAUUUUUGCAAAACAAAAUCUUUUAUUGCAAGCUUUCGGGCACAAACACCCUUCAUCAGGCAUUGGAGAAAAGAUUGUAGAAGUCGUAAAGUCUGGAGCACUUUGCACCUCUGAGGGAGGAUGGGACCACCAGGGGAGAGUUUGUGGCUUCAAGUGUUACUGCAGCAUUGCUAUUAAAUAAGAACAGUAAAUAAUAAUAAAGCCACCUUUGCAUUCUUCAA